AAAAAUGAAAGCAGGCACAAGAUUUGUAGCUAUUCAUACCUCUAAAGCAAAUAUAGCCUCUUAAGCAAGUAUUCCAAACAACCUAUUGGAAAAAAAUAUAUAUAUUCAGUUAGACACAGUAAACCCAUGACACAAGUCAAAAAAAAGAAAAAAAGGCAGAUGCCAGAUUUUUAGCUAUCCAUACCUCUUAAGCAAGUAAUUCAAACACCCUACUGCAAAAAAGAAAAAGAAAAAGAAAAUCUGUUAGACAAUGUAUCUUUGGAGGGCUUGAGUCCAAAUUAGUCUUCAAACUCAAAAUAGUAUAUGCUUGGCCUCUAAGUUUAACCACUCAUCAUUAAACAAACAAAAACAUUAUUUUUCUGAGUUAACUCAAAACAGUAACGUAAUAAGACAUCACAGGAAGCACCAAAUAUCCAAGAUAAAAGUCUCAACAAAAAACCAAAUGGUUCAAAAUAAUAUUGUAAUCAACACAUCCACUUUAUACAGUUAUAACAUGUACAAUGAAUAAAGUCAGGCUUAAGGUCACAUGUCUCUCAUGUAGUAUAUGAAUUAUCUGAAAUUAGUAAUUAGGCUCUUCAUCUCAAUUCCAUAACAAAUUAUAAUUCAUUACAGUUCUUAAUUAUUAUGCCUUAUAAAUUAUUAUAAAAACCAUUUCAAAUUAACAAAAAUUUACCCUUGAAGCUAAUUGAAUGACCUUCCAUAAUAUUCAAGCUACCAGUGAUCAUCAUAUAAAGCCAAAAUGGUUUGUUAAAAAAGAAAAAAAAAACGUAGCUGGAAGAGCUUGAAAAGGAUUUCCAAAACAAUCAAACCAACAUUGAAGGAUGAUACUCCAUCAGUUAAACUCUAUUGUCCAAUUAAGUGGUACUACACUCAGACACCAAUACUAAGGGAAAGAAAAAUAAUUCCUAAACUGACCAGUUCAUCUAUGGGACAAUGGCCCUGCAGCUAUAGCUUAUAUAUAAAAUAUAGAGACAACUUUGCAGCUAGUUUAUACCUAAACUAUAAAGAGAACUCAAUAAGCUACAUUGGCAAAAAAAUCAAUAACAAUAAAAAAAACAAAAAAAACAUAAGCUCACAGACAAAGGCAAACGAACCUUGAAACGAAUACACCCACAGACCAACUUCCAACUUCUAACUUUUUACUUCAAUUAUAUAAAUGAAUUGUUAUAUUCUUUCUUCCAAUAGAUAGUAAAGAAAUUCAAAAUUAAUCCAGAAGUAUCAAGCAAACAUUCAAGACUUGGAAAACAACCAAUCAGACUCAAAGCAUUAAAACAUAAAAAAAAUGAAAUAAUUAUUGGGUACGUGUGCAAGUGAAACAUCUCAAAUUUGAACAGAACCCACAUCAAAUGCAAAACAGGGCAUUCAUAUCAGACACAGAACCCUACUCAAAUUUGACAUAGAACCCACAAUAAUUAACUACUUGAAAAAGAAAAGUCAUUUUAUUCAGAAAACUUGGACUGUUGAAUGUUCAAGCAUUUAAGAUAUCAAAAAGGAAAAAUCAAGCACUGAAAUUCAGUUUCGAUUUAAAUUCCUGGGUAUCUAUUUCCGAUUUUCCUUGAUUAUUUUCUCAACAACCAAAUGGAAUCCACAACUGAAAAUCAGAGCUCAAAAGAAAAUGAAGGUAAGAGAGACAAGAUAGACUCACCAUAAGCUUUCCGUUGAAACACGUAGUGAGGAGGACUUCGGAGAUGGAGUUUUCAGAUGGCCGUCGAUUCCUGACCGUGGCAGGGAAAGGCGUGCGAGAUGGAGUAUCGCUUGCUGACGUUGGUGGAGGAUUGCUCUGCCGACGUCGGUGGAGGAUUCCUUUGCCGAUAUAAAACAGCGAAGAGUGGGUCUGAGAGGAAAUAACCAAUCGGGAACUUUUUAGUUCAUAUUUUUGUAUUUAAACUCUCCAGAUUAGCCCCAAAAACUAUUUGGUCGCCCAUAUGCUAAUAUACAUAAAACUACGUCGUUUUAUGGCUUACAUUUUUAAAAGCACAAUGAUCUGCGACGAAAACCAAAUAGUCGCUGGCCCCACGAAAUUUUUACGCGCCAAUUCUAACUUAGCGACAACACAUUAAAACUCAGCGACCCAAUAUUUUCGUCGCCAAAACUUUUGAAGUUUCGCGCGCACUCAAUUCCGCAAAUCGCGACCAAAUAUACGUUUGGUCGCCAAGUCCUUGCCUAACCACCAAAAACUUUCGUCGCCCUUAGUUGAUAAAUUAGUCGCUAUUUAGUUGACUCAAGUCAUCAC
Molecule: long non-coding RNA, 2233 nt
Filed under: Prunus persica (peach)
Lineage: Eukaryota; Viridiplantae; Streptophyta; Magnoliopsida; Rosales; Rosaceae
Description: long non-coding RNA (PPER_LNC001027)
Source: RNAcentral